This 116-nucleotide non-coding RNA is filed under the name unclassified sequences. The record is from Rfam.
AGGCGUGAAGCAGUGGGCUGGGUCCGUAUCAGUCGAUUGCAGAGCCAGACCGUGGGUUAUGCGGAAAUCACAAGCCGGAUAGGUGGCGGGAACGCUGCUGAAAGAAAACGCAAAAA